Molecule: long non-coding RNA, 2345 nt
Organism: Tarenaya hassleriana
Lineage: Eukaryota; Viridiplantae; Streptophyta; Magnoliopsida; Brassicales; Cleomaceae
Exons: 3
Source: RefSeq, a predicted model, not a curated record
CACAAGAGAGAAAGACAGAGAGAGUGAAAGGGAGAAGGAGAGUGAAAAACAGUUUUGAGCGGUUUUGAUCAAGUGAUCAAUCGAAUAUCGAUCUAUUAUCUGAUCGAUCUGAAAUUUUGUGGAGAUCUUCUACACUCCUUGUUCUUGAUUCUUUUCGGUUGGAUUUUGAUUUCAACGGUUAGAAUUAAAGAAACAUAGAUUUUACCAAAAUUGUUCAUCCAAGGGUAUCAAACUGCGGCAGGUCUGAUUGCUAUGAAUAUCAGACGGUGGAUUCUUUCCCGAUCGAGGUGAAAUUUGGUUUACACAAGUAAAGGAUUUGGUUACUAAUUCGUGACAUACGAUCGAAGUAACGUAAAAUCCCCUACACAGCGAAAGAACCCAUCCCCUGUUUUUCGCGGCCUCUUCCGCGGUUAACCAAAUCAAGCUUUUCAUGUUUCUCGGUGACGAACAAAGGACAAGUGUUCCUACAAAAGGAAGAUUCACGCAUUGUCACAUAGCUUGUUCAUUGCAUUUAGAAGGUGAUAUAUUAAAACUACCCUAGAAAACCGAAAGCCCCAUAAUAACUAAUAAGGGCAUUUUUUUAUAAAGGCUCUAUUUAGAUGCCCAUUGAGUAAUUUUGUCGAACACCUUGUGGCGGCACAAAGUUUGGUGUCCGAGACCUAAUCUGUUACCAACUCCGGCACAUCAUCCUCUGUAAGUACAAAUUCCCUUUCCUCUUUAACAAGAAUCACCUGCAACUCACUAUCUCUACAACGAUGCCCAAAAAAAUACUUCUCAUCACAUCGGAAACAGAUCCCUUUCUUCCUCUUUUCAUCCAGAUCUGAGUCGGUGAUUCAGCGAACCGACUGAGGUUUCGCAGCAAGGACAAAAGAGUUGGACCCAUAAGAUGUUGGGCCAGAGGGAAUAGGCACAAAAGCCUCAGCCCAUUCCAGCGUUGUGGCCCACUCGAGCCCGAGGGUGGCAAGGAAAUCGUGCGAAACGGAUUUCCUGAAGUUGAAAAUCCCGAUUUGUUGCUGCGGUGGUCACCGAUCUUGCCGCCAAGUGUCCCGAUCGGCUUGCUGUCCAAUUUCAGGGCGAGGGCAAUUGUUCGCUCGAGCCCCGAUGGUUCGAGAAUCUCCACCAUGUCGACGGGCGAUUUGCCGUGAGGAGCAAAAACCAUCUCAGCACAGGUUGAUCUUUCCUGGGAUUUGUCCAGUGGUUCAUGUUGGGUCAGAAGCUGUUGCAUCAUUUGCUUCAAAACUUGUAUCUGACCAACCUCCUUCUGGAUGCCCACAAUGGUCCCUGCAACUCUUCCACGGAUGAUUGAAACCUUCCUUGCAUCUCACCCAUAGCUGCAUGAAAUCCCCCCUGCAUAUCUCCCAUGGCAGACUCCAUUUUUCCCAGCUUAGAGGGCAUCAAAUCUUCCAACAGUUCAAUGCGAUUAUCCUUAGGAGGCAUAUUUGUAAUAGAAAGAUAUAUUUAAAUAAUAUAAUGCUGCUUGUGUUUCUGAAGAAUCCAAAAGAGAAAUAUAAAUAUCCCAGAAUUAGAGAGGCACACCACUCUCUUUUAUACCCUCACAACUCAAAACAUAAUUCUCGAUACCUAAACCAGCCAAACAGAUGCAUAUCAAUACUAGCCAACCCCCCUGAGGUGGCAUUCCUAAUUAUAGUCUGUUCAUAACAACCUUCCAUCCCAAUUCCCUGCGAGCAUAACAUAAUUAUUCCUCAGCAAUUACUGUUGUCCUGUAGAUGCUGCCUCCACGUCAGACCUCUCCGUCUCAACUCCCUCCUCUUCCUUCUCGUUCUCAAUUACUUCCUUAACCCUGGCCGUCUCCUUCUUUCCUCUGUUCCUCCUGCGAUAUAUUUGGAAAGGUUUGUCAGUAAAUCCCACAUGAGUCGGUAAGUAGCAUAAUCAACAUAUGGAGAAGUUAUGGAGUUGUUCAUACAAAAAUACUCAUGGUAUUCAUUAAAAAUUACUCUUUUUUUAUUUUUCUUAUAAAAUCUGGAUUUUGUAUCCUACAAGUCUUUCGGAUGUCUGAAAUUCAGUUAUCAAUCAAACCUCUUCGAAUAAUUAAUCAAUCCACUAUCCAAUCAAGAACGAGAUAUGGGAAAUCUUAAAAGUUUUGGAUAUCCGUUUGAUACACAGUCGAAUAUGACUCUUCCAUGAGCCGGGUAUUACGUUAUUCUCCCUUCCACAUCCAUUAGGACAAAAAAAACAUUGGAAACGACAAUGGCUGUCACUGUAUCGACAAUAAACCCAUCUUCCACGCGAUUGUUACGGACAAUCUUUUCUUCUUCUUCACUUAUGUUUUGUCUUCUUGUCGCCAGUUAGGUCUCUGCAAAGCUAUAUAUAUAUAUAUAUAUAUA